UACGUAGGAGGCAAGCGUUGUCCGGAAUUACUGGGCGUAAAGCGCGUGUAGGCGGAUGUCUAAGUCUGUGGUGAAAGCGCCUGGCUCAACCGGGCGAGGUCCAUGGAAACUAGGCGUCUAGAGGCCGGUAGAGGGGGGUGGAAUUCCGGGUGUAGUGGUGAAAUGCGUAGAGAUCCGGAGGAACACCUGUGGCGAAGGCGGCCCCCUGGGCCGCGCCUGACGCUGAGACGCGAAAGCGCGGGGAGCGAACGGG
RNAcentral lists this ribosomal RNA (253 nucleotides) under uncultured bacterium. RNAcentral describes it as "partial 16S ribosomal RNA". It matches the Rfam family "Bacterial small subunit ribosomal RNA", at positions 524 to 776 of the family's 1533-position model. The record is from RNAcentral.